AGCAGCCGCGGUAAUUCCAGCUCCAAUAGCGUAUAUUAAAGUUGCUGCAGUUAAAAAGCUCGUAGUUGAAUUUCGGGAUCAUCAUGUCGGUCGUGCCUCGGUACGUACUGGCAUUGUUGGUUUCUACCUUCUGACGAACCAUGAUGUCAUUUAUUUGGUGUCGUGGGAAAUCAGGACUGUUACUUUGAAAAAAUUAGAGUGUUUAAAGCAGGCUCACGCUUGAAUACAUUAGCAUGGAAUAAUGAAAUAGGACGUUUGAUUCUAUUUUGUUGGUUUCUAGGAUCGACGUAAUGAUUAAUAGGGAUAGUUGGGGGCAUUAGUAUUCAAUUGUCAGAGGUGAAAUUCUUGGAUUUAUUGAAGACUAACUACUGCGAAAGCAUUUGCCAAGGAUGUUUUUCAUUAAUCAAGAACGAAAGUUAGGGGAUCGAAGACGAUCAGAUACCGUCGUAGUCUUAACCAAUAAACUAUGCCGACUAGGGAUCGGAUGAUGUUAAUUUUUUAAUAGUACUCA
This 511-nucleotide ribosomal RNA is filed under the name uncultured Glomus. RNAcentral's name for it is "SSU rRNA". It matches the Rfam family "Eukaryotic small subunit ribosomal RNA", at positions 569 to 1078 of the family's 1831-position model. The record is from RNAcentral. Lineage: Eukaryota; Fungi; Glomeromycota; Glomeromycetes; Glomerales; Glomeraceae.